CCUACGGGUGGCAGCAGUGAGGAAUAUUGGUCAAUGGACGAGAGUCUGAUCCAGCCACGCAGCGUGAAGGAUGACUGCUCUAUGGGUUGUAAGCUUCUUUUAUAUGGGAAUAAAAUGUUCCACGUGUGGGAUUUUGUAUGUACCAUAUGAAUAAGGAUCGGCUAACUCCGUGCCAGCAGCCGCGGUAAUACGGAGGAUCCGAGCGUUAUCCGGAUUUGUUGGGUUUAACGGGAGCGUAGGUGGAUUGUUAAGUCAGUUGUGAAAGUUUGCGGCUCAACCGUAAAAUUGCAGUUGAAACUGGGAGUCUUGAGUACAGUAGAGGUCAGCGGAAUUCGUGGUGUAGCGGUGAAAUGCUUAGAUAUCACGAAGAACUCCGGUUGCGAAGGCAGCUCACUGGACUGCAACUGACGCUGAGGCUCGAAAGUGUGGGUAGCAAACAGGAUUAGAUACCCGAGUAGUC
RNAcentral lists this ribosomal RNA (460 nucleotides) under uncultured bacterium. Its description in RNAcentral is "partial 16S ribosomal RNA". It matches the Rfam family "Bacterial small subunit ribosomal RNA", at positions 338 to 795 of the family's 1533-position model. The record is from RNAcentral.